ACCCAGCGUACGCCCAGGUGAACCCAGCGUGAACCCAGCGUAAACCCAGCGUACGCCCAGGGGUAAGGACUUUGCACCAGACAGUAUCAGCUCAGCGUUCAAACCAAGGUCAAGCACAUGUGAUCAACCACAUGACAAGCCCCAAUAAACACUGGACACCGAGGUCUGGGCAAGAUUCUCUGGCUGUCGGUGCUCCACGUGUGUUGCCACACAUCAUCGCUGGGAGAAGAAAAUGCGGUCGGCAUGACUCCGCUGGGAAAAUGUAACCGGAAAUUCUGCACCUGGCGUCCCCUGGACCCUGUCCUAUGCACUUCUUCCCCUCGGCUGAUUUUAAUUUGCUAUAAUAAACUGAGUAAAAUGACUUUGCUGAA
Hyaena hyaena (striped hyena) is the source of this 371-nucleotide long non-coding RNA. RefSeq lists it as uncharacterized. Lineage: Eukaryota; Metazoa; Chordata; Mammalia; Carnivora; Hyaenidae. The record is from RefSeq and is a predicted model, not a curated record. The transcript is spliced from 2 exons.